Ictalurus punctatus (channel catfish) is the source of this 1145-nucleotide long non-coding RNA. NCBI's taxonomy places the organism in Eukaryota, Metazoa, Chordata, Actinopteri, Siluriformes, Ictaluridae. The record is from Ensembl.
GAAUGUUUAAUGUCUCCACAGAGCCCUGCUUUUUUUCUCUCUUCUCAGCAUGUCAGAGGACGUCUCCUUACCUCGCCUCCCCCGCUGCCUGUUAGCCAAGCCAGCUGUCCCUGCACACAGCUAGCACGCAUGCACACACAAACUACCUCAUAGGAGCCCAGACUCUGGACAGGUGCAUAGCAUAGGUAUGACAGGACCAAGUAUGCAACUUGGACCCCAACGUAUAUGCAUUGGAAGAGGAAGAAAGCAAGCAAGGGAGGUAAAAACAGGAAAUUACCUGCAACUUUUCUCCAGACUGCUGCUCUGAUUCGGUGAAGAGACUUUGGAAUCAUUGGAUCCUGUACUGUGGCCUGGUGUCAGGGAUGACCCAUGGGCUUUGCAGCACUGUGGCCAGAACAUGGAGACUAUUGAGAAAGCAGCCUGAGAUGCCCCCUAAAGUCGUCUGAGUUACCAGAUAAUGCUCUUAUUCUAUAAAGAGCCAUGCAGGCCAAACCCAGCAAGCUGAUCCCCAUGGCAAUGCUGAAGAUUGACAAGAUUUGUCUCUGCUGCACAUGAUACUCCUGAGAUGCCAGUGAUCUUGACGCUUUUUGCUCUCUGGACCUGCCUGAUCCAUCCUGAUGCCCUACUUCUGGUUGGAGUUCUCAUCAAUUGGAAGCCACAAUGCUGCUGCUGAGGAUGGCCUGACAUGGUGCAGCUUAAAGAUCAUUAGUAAUCUUAGAGAUUACUGAGGAUGGUACCACUUAAAAACCAUAAGAUGGCUUUGGACUUCUAUUCAUAUGAACAGUUAUGUUAUGAUGGCUAGGACUACAAUUGCCACAAACAGUUUUGCACUCAAGUCUCAAUCAGUGAACAGUGAACAAAACAGACUUCAUGUAAAAACUGUAAUGAAUUUUCCUGGUUACACAAUUGCACUAUUUGACUAUGUAGUAUUAGUACAUUUAUAGAACGGAAUUAUUUAUUUAUAAUCGCGCUAUCCAUUGUUACCCAGAGAAGAAUGUGUUCCCUUUUGAGUCUGGUUCCUCUCAAGGUUUUUUCCUCAUAUCAUCUCAGGGGGUUUUCCUUGCCACCAUUGCCUCUGCUUGCUCAUUAGGGAAUUGUUAAAAGCGCUAUACAAGUAAAACUGAAUUUAACUAAAUUAAAACAAA